Molecule: ribosomal RNA, 365 nt
Filed under: Babesia occultans
Lineage: Eukaryota; Apicomplexa; Aconoidasida; Piroplasmida; Babesiidae
Description: SSU rRNA
Rfam family: Eukaryotic small subunit ribosomal RNA
Source: RNAcentral
CUACUGUCUUGUAAUUGGAAUGAUGGUGACUUAAACCCUCACCAGAGUACCAAUUGGAGGGCAAGUCUGGUGCCAGCAGCCGCGGUAAUUCCAGCUCCAAUAGCGUAUAUUAAACUUGUUGCAGUUAAAAAGCUCGUAGUUGAAUUUCAGCGUUUCGCGUGUGCCUCUUUUGGCCCAUCUCGUCUCGCUUUUUUUAUUACUUUGAGAAAAUUAGAGUGUUUCAAGCAGGCUUUUGUCUUGAAUACUUGAGCAUGGAAUAAUAGAGUAGGACCUUGGUUCUAUUUUGUUGGUUUUGUUACCUUGGUAAUGGUUAAUAGGAACGGUUGGGGGCAUUCGUAUUUAACUGUCAGAGGUGAAAUUCUUAG